UACCGAGCACCAGCAGCGAGGUGUGAAUGGGGGUGAUGAUGUGGACUACCCCCCGCUCAGCCCCCCCUCCCACUAUCCCCUCUGGCUGGGCCCCCCACCUCCCUACGAGGUCGCCAUCAAGAACACCUGUAGCUCCACCCACUUGCGCCGUGCCUACUCAGACGGACACCUGGCCUCGGAACCCCUGUUUGGCCAAUCACGGGAGAUCAGCUUCGAAGUGUGACAUCACUUCACACACUGCCUCCACCAACCACACCGCAAGAGGACCACUGUGGCCACACCCUUCACUUAGGCUCCUCUAAUCAGCUGUCAACCCUGAAAAACAAUAAGAUCCCCGCACGCCACAUGGAAAGCAAAAAGGAAGUGCAACUAGCUGAGGAAAAAUGGAGUAAAAAGAACACGGAGAGGUUUAGAAAGUAAAUAAUCAUCUCCUUAUCCUUUAUCCCUGGCUCGGCACUGGAGAAGCCUCUUCAGAAGAUUGUGAAUGAUGGUGUGAUGGUGUUGGAGGAGGAGUGUGGAGGUGUGUGUGAGCCAAGCCAGGGGGAAGCACCAUGCAGGCAGGAGGAGAGAAAGCGGCCAUCUCCCCAGGGUGUCCUGCUAUCUCUAGGCCCGGUGAUGAUGGUAGUAGGGGGUUUCCUGACUUUCCUGACUCUGCAAGGUCCAGGGCUGUGGAUGGGGGUGCUGAUGGCUGUUACCGGGGCAACACUGACCAUCGCUGGGCUCUGUAUUUUAAUGACAACGCUACAGGUGUCGGAUGUACCUGGACACUUCCUGUUACACCCCCGCACAGGAACGCGCUAUAGCCCACACCAGGCCCUAGCCAUCCAGAGAAGGUUGGACCGGAUACGCAGAGAGAUGUCUGAGGACUCUGUGCGAGUGCCCCCCUCUCCACCCCUCCCCUUGCCCCCCACCCCUCCUCCCUGGGACCUGGAGGCACCCCCCUCCUACGACUCUGUCAUGAAGAGCCGGGGUCCCUCUGACCUCUGAGGGCUGAGGAGACUACUAUACUCUACUGUUCUGUAACUUUGGACUAUUCCCUUUGUGCCAUUACAGUGAAGUAAAUCAAGCACACCCGUGCUGGGAGAGACGUUGUUCUGGAAUGGAGGGGCUGUAAGGGGUUGGGCGCCUCAGCGUUGUUUACAUGUUAACAUGACAGGUUUACAUAUUUGUUUGAAGAAUGAGGAGUGUGUUUAUAAUGCUACUAUUAAGACUACUACAGUGUGGUACACUGCACUCCUAUAAAGACAUAUAUAACAAAUAUAUUUUUUUUUCUUACUUUCCACCACCUGAAGUUGUUUAUGUCACUUUUCAAGUCCGCUCGAUGCCCAUAUAUUUGUAGUGGCACACUGAGCUACACCAGGCAGCGAGGCCAGCUGGCAGCAUCUACCCAGCACUAAGCAUUCUCUAUGCAGCAGCACUCAGCCUUUAUUACCAGUCCAAAUGGAUAACCCAGCCUUUAAAACCACUGUCUGACUUUUUUGCUGCUUUGGACUCCAUUAGCUGUUUGUGCUGUGACUGCUUGGGGAGGUUGUGUCAUUCUCCAGUGUGUGAGUGCGGGUGUGUUUCUGUGGUCAUGUAUGCACCACGGAUUCUUUCUAUUCACACAGCUGACAUCAGGAUAGACGGAAGAUCUCAACCAGAAGUGCCUUGUUGUUACAGCACUAGACGCUUGUUGUCACAGCACACGGUUAUCCACAGCAUUAUUCUCUCUCUCUCUGCCCCAUUGCUGCAGGGUUCCAUUCUAUCCACUGUUGCACUUCCUGUUUGACUGUGAUGUCAUGAUCAACUUUAGUAAAUGAAUAGCCAAAGAUCUCUGAGUGGUUCUUGUCUCAGUUGGACUAAGUACAGUGUGUUAUUACUCAGUUUCUUUGUUCUGUUCUAACCUCACUUACACUUGAAGUAAAUGCUUUCUCAAGGAGAGAGGAAAAUAGGACAGAGAGUUGGGGAGCUGAGCUGUGGGCAAGGUGACACACUAGCCAACAUACACACACACACACACACACACACACACACACACACACACACACACACACACACACACACAACCCCUGCUCUACAGUCGUCUGCAGGCUGUGAGAACCAGCAGAGUGGAACUGUCUGCCCUCUCUCCCCCUCUUCCUUUUC
This 2124-nucleotide long non-coding RNA is filed under the name Salmo salar (Atlantic salmon). Its description in RNAcentral is "lncRNA (ENSSSAG00000098106.1, ENSSSAG00000109647.1)". The record is from RNAcentral. Lineage: Eukaryota; Metazoa; Chordata; Actinopteri; Salmoniformes; Salmonidae.